UGGCGGCACUAGCGCGGUGGUCCCACCUGACCCCAUGCCGAACUCAGAAGUGAAACGCCGUAGCGCCGAUGGUAGUGUGGGGUCUCCCCAUGCGAGAGUAGGGAACUGCC
RNAcentral lists this ribosomal RNA (110 nucleotides) under Salmonella enterica subsp. enterica serovar Typhimurium str. DT104. The record is from RNAcentral. Lineage: Bacteria; Pseudomonadati; Pseudomonadota; Gammaproteobacteria; Enterobacterales; Enterobacteriaceae.